This is a long non-coding RNA of Neofelis nebulosa (Clouded leopard), 732 nucleotides long. RefSeq lists it as uncharacterized. The transcript is spliced from 3 exons. Lineage: Eukaryota; Metazoa; Chordata; Mammalia; Carnivora; Felidae. The record is from RefSeq and is a predicted model, not a curated record.
GAUGACAGGUCCAGGUCCUCACCUGCCAAGUCCCCUCGAGCCCAGUGGGAACAGCAGAGCGGGGCCAGCCUGAGGCGACAGAGUGGGAGAAUGACGCAUAUCAGGCAGGGAGCACCUUCUCCGCUGCAAUUCCUCGUUCCAUCAUCGCCUCACCAUUUUCCCAAACCGGUGGCAACAAUGGGCCAGCGCGGUUGGGUUUCCUGGUCAGGGAACUGAAUGUUACAGAACCUGCUCUGGAUCACCCGGCGGAAGAAUCAAGCGGCACUUGGGCAUCUUGGAAGGCAGGAGGUUUAUUUCACAUCAUUGGGCUCAGAGGAGAUUGUUCUCCAGAGGUCUGAGCCCGGAGCGCCGGAGCACAAGCAUGGGGGACAAUUUAUAGUCUGUUACUUCCGCAUUAGUAGUAAUUUGGUGCGCAUGCGCAACAAGCAAGGUAAGAAGAAGAACCCGGAAGGGGAGUCUUCGGGUGGGGACUGGAAUUUCCCUACCAGUCCUGUCGGCCAUUUUAUCAUUUUUCCCCACCAGACUGACUAGAAGACAGAGGCCACUGACAGAGAUUUGGGUCUUCGCUGAGACACUGGAAGAUUUGACAGCAGUGGACCCACAGCAGCGAUUGGUUAGAGUGGGGCAGUCUCAGUGUGAAGAGUCUGAUUUGUAUAUGCCAGGUCUCAAGACGCUUGCCUGCGGAUGAGCUCUUUCAACUGUGCCAGUCUGUCACUUCUUAGUGCUUCCCGG